RNAcentral lists this ribosomal RNA (503 nucleotides) under uncultured bacterium. RNAcentral describes it as "partial 16S ribosomal RNA". It matches the Rfam family "Bacterial small subunit ribosomal RNA", at positions 28 to 523 of the family's 1533-position model. The record is from RNAcentral.
GAUGAACGCUAGCGGCAGGCUUAAUACAUGCAAGUCGAGGGGCAGCAGUUUUGUAGCAAUACAGAAGCUGGCGACCGGCAAACGGGUGCGGAACACGUACGCAACCUUCCUUUAACUGGGAGAUAGCCCACCGAAAGGUGGAUUAAUAUCCCAUAAUAUAACUGAAUGGCAUCAUUUAGAUAUUAAAGCUCCGGCGGUUAAAGAUGGGCGUGCGUCUGAUUAGGUAGUUGGCGGGGUAACGGCCCACCAAGCCUUCGAUCAGUAGCUGAUGUGAGAGCAUGAUCAGCCAAACGGGCACUGGGACACGGGCCCGACUCCUACGGGAGGCAGAAGUAAGGAAUAUUGGUCAAUGGACGCAAGUCUGAACCAGCCAUGCCGCGUGGAGGAUGAAGGCCCUCUGGGUUGUAAACUUCUUUUCUUUGGGACGAAACCCCUGUUUCUACGGGGACUGACGGUACCAGAGGAAUAAGCACCGGCUAACUCCGUGCCAGCCGCCGCAGUAA